AUCAGACGUGAUUGACAACCUCCCAUUUCUCUCCACCUCAGACUUGUAGAAGUUGCGGUUUGACGACUUUUCAGGGUUAAACUUGAGCGGUCCUCUUUUCAUGAUCACAAACAAUGAUUUUAAUGAUUGUCAACGUCUUUGUUAGGGGAGUAUUAAGAGGAAUUGGAGUCACAACCACUUAAUCGCUGCUUACUCCCUAGUGAGUUGUUUACCAGUAAACGGGUCCAGAGAAGUAACAGUAUUUAUUUCAGUGACGUUCAGAUGUGAGUCAGUAGUUAUGUUGUUUUCAUUUUUAUUGAUUUUUUUUUUUGUUCAAUAUUGUUCUUGACGACUGUGCUAUCCGCUUGUCACAGUCCUAUAUUUGAUGGUGAUGGCCUCUCAACAGAAGGCUGUUGUAUGUUAAAAACAACAAAUGUUUCACGACACAUGGUCGUGUAUCAUAUUGUGAUUGUGUUGUACAUGUCAAUGGGUAGCCACAUGACACAGGCAAUCGACAUUAACUGAAGAGGAUAUUUCGUACUUGUGUAUCUGUCUGUAUUUUGAAUCGAUCCGAAAAACCAAGCAGGAUUAUUGAUAUUCAUUUCUGACACAUCCGGCCUUUAUGCAGAAAAGCAUUAAGUUGUUGCUCCGUGAUCACAUCGAAACCACUCCCACAUAAAAUAUGCACAGUGACUCCUACGCACAGAACCUAAAAAAAUAAAACAAAUUAAUCCAUCUGCAUUACUAGUAGUUUCUGCCUGCUUCCUGUCAGGCUGCCGAGGGAUUCCUUCGGCUUGGCCUUUAAACCCAUUUGUUUUCACCAGACCCAGUCACCUGAAAUCCUAAAGACGUGUCACGCGUCUUUCAGUAUUACACAUGGUUUGAUUCAACGAGGUGUCUUAAACAUGUAAAAAAAGAAAAGAAAGAAAUGUAAUUCUUGUACAGAAUACAUGUAAUGUAUCUCUGUACCGUCAAUGAGAUGUGUGUUCAGUGCAGUUCUUUCAAUGGCAGAGAAAAAAACUAUUAAAAAAAAUCAAAAGAACGUUUAAAAAAUUGGACUUCUACUGACAGGGUGUUUUGUUAGUAUGUUUUGGGUUUUUAUAUUAACUGUACAGCUCAAUCUUGGCAGAACGGUGAAACAAAACACAAAAAAAAUACAAAAGAUAAAGACAUUCUUGGAAUAUUUUCUCUGUAUAUGUUGUACCUGUUACUGCUGGUACUGUAUCUGGUUUUCUGGCUCCAUCUAAAUCACUGGAACUCUGUAGUUCUUCACGCUGUAGUAUCCUGAAAAGGCAUUUCUCUGGUUUUCUCAAUGAUGGCAGCAAAGUUUGUCUUAUUUAAAUGGAUUCUACCACUUUUUGUUCUUAUUGAUAUUAUACUAGUGUAAUAGAAAUUACCUAAUAAAAAAGAACUGAACAUAUGUUGAUGCUAAAACAAACUGAAAUAAAC
Molecule: long non-coding RNA, 1428 nt
Organism: Gasterosteus aculeatus aculeatus (three-spined stickleback)
Lineage: Eukaryota; Metazoa; Chordata; Actinopteri; Perciformes; Gasterosteidae
Source: Ensembl